CCCUUAGAUGUUCUGGGUCGCACGCGCGCUACACUGACGAAUUCAACGAGCUUAUAACCUUGGCCGAAAGGUCUAGGUAAUCUCCAAAAUUCGUCGUGAUGGGGAUAGAUUAUUGCAAUUAUUAAUCUUCAACGAGGAAUGCCUAGUAAGCGCAAGUCAUCAGCUUGCGUUGAUUACGUCCCUGCCCUUUGUACACACCGCCCGUCGCUACUACCGAUUGAAUGGUUUAGUGAGAUCUCCGGAUUGGCUCUGUAGGUCCCGCAAGGGAUUUAUUAGUAGCCAAGAAGCUGCUCAAACUUGAUCAUUUAGAGGAAGUAAAAGUCGUAACA
This 329-nucleotide ribosomal RNA is filed under the name uncultured eukaryote. RNAcentral's name for it is "partial 18S ribosomal RNA". It matches the Rfam family "Eukaryotic small subunit ribosomal RNA", at positions 1470 to 1796 of the family's 1831-position model. The record is from RNAcentral.